GACGAACGCUGGCGGCGCGCUUAACACAUGCAAGUCGAACGGAAAGGCCUGCUUUCCCUUGUGGAUUGCGGGUACUCGAGUGGCGAACGGGUGAGUAACACGUGAGUGAUCUGCCCCCAACUUGGGUAUAAGCCUGGGAAACUGGGUCUAAUUCCCGAUAGGACUGCAGGGUGGUGCCUGUGGUGGAAAACGAUUUUCUAGUGGUUGGGGAUGAGCUCGCGGCCUAUCAGCUUGUUGGUGGGGUAAUGGCCUACCAAGGCGGCGACGGGUAGCCGGCCUGAGAGGGUGGACGGCCACAUUGGGACUGGGAUACGGCCCAGACUCCUACGGGAGGCAGCAGUGGGGAAUAUUGCACAAUGGGCGGAAGCCUGAUGCAGCGACGCCGCGUGGGGGAUGGCGGCCUUCGGGUGGUAAACUCCUUUCGACCGCGAGGAAGCCACCUGGUUGGAAGGGUGGUGACGGUAGUGGUAGAAGAAGCACCGGCUAACUACGUG
Molecule: ribosomal RNA, 494 nt
Filed under: uncultured bacterium
Lineage: Bacteria
Description: partial 16S ribosomal RNA
Rfam family: Bacterial small subunit ribosomal RNA
Source: RNAcentral